Molecule: long non-coding RNA, 312 nt
Organism: Mauremys reevesii (Reeves's turtle)
Lineage: Eukaryota; Metazoa; Chordata; Testudines; Geoemydidae
Exons: 3
Source: RefSeq, a predicted model, not a curated record
UGGGAAUUGGAUCACUCUAUAUUCAUCCAGACUGGCCUGGACUGGUGAGCACAUCUCACUAAUCAUCUUUUCCUUCUUUGGUGUUAUCAGGAUGCAUCUCCUCACCCUUAUAUCUCUUCAUCCUAAGUAAUUUCAGAGGAGGAGACAAGGAACAAGAAAGGGAUGAAAGUUGGAUGAAAUGUUGUAGAGGAAAUCCAAAAACUAACAAACAAAUCACGUCAGGGAAUUACUCCAACCUAUGAAGUGACCCAUCUGUGUUCAGGGAUGAGAAGAAAAUUUUGGCACUCCAUAUUUCCAAGAGCAAAAAUAUUA